Molecule: ribosomal RNA, 413 nt
Filed under: uncultured bacterium
Lineage: Bacteria
Description: bacterial SSU rRNA
Rfam family: Bacterial small subunit ribosomal RNA
Source: RNAcentral
ACUCCUACGGGAGGCAGCAGUAGGGAAUCUUCCACAAUGGGCGCAAGCCUGAUGGAGCAACACCGCGUGAGUGAAGAAGGGUUUCGGCUCGUAAAGCUCUGUUGUUAAAGAAGAACACGUAUGAGAGUAACUGUUCAUACGUUGACGGUAUUUAACCAGAAAGUCACGGCUAACUACGUGCCAGCAGCCGCGGUAAUACGUAGGUGGCAAGCGUUAUCCGGAUUUAUUGGGCGUAAAGAGAGUGCAGGCGGUUUUCUAAGUCUGAUGUGAAAGCCUUCGGCUUAACCGGAGAAGUGCAUCGGAAACUGGAUAACUUGAGUGCAGAAGAGGGUAGUGGAACUCCAUGUGUAGCGGUGGAAUGCGUAGAUAUAUGGAAGAACACCAGUGGCGAAGGCGGCUACCUGGUCUGCAAC